RNAcentral lists this ribosomal RNA (388 nucleotides) under uncultured bacterium. Its description in RNAcentral is "bacterial SSU rRNA". It matches the Rfam family "Bacterial small subunit ribosomal RNA", at positions 28 to 417 of the family's 1533-position model. The record is from RNAcentral.
GACGAACGCUGGCGGCGUGCUUAACACAUGCAAGUCGAGCGGUAAGGCCCCUUCGGGGGUACACGAGCGGCGAACGGGUGAGUAACACGUGGGUGACCUGCCCUCAGCUCUGGGAUAAGCCUGGGAAACUGGGUCUAAUACUGGAUAUGACUCCACGGUGCAUGUCGUGGGGUGGAAAGCCUUGUGCGGCUGAGGAUGGGCCCGCGGCCUAUCAGCUUGUUGGUGGGGUGAUGGCCUACCAAGGCGACGACGGGUAGCCGGCCUGAGAGGGCGACCGGCCACACUGGGACUGAGACACGGCCCAGACUCCUACGGGAGGCAGCAGUGGGGAAUCUUGCGCAAUGGGCGAAAGCCUGACGCAGCGACGCCGCGUGAGGGAUGACGGCCU